Molecule: long non-coding RNA, 424 nt
Filed under: Malus domestica (apple)
Lineage: Eukaryota; Viridiplantae; Streptophyta; Magnoliopsida; Rosales; Rosaceae
Description: long non-coding RNA (MDOM_LNC020379)
Source: RNAcentral
UUAAUUGAAGAAUGGUCAAGAUUAAUUAAUUAGUUAAUUAAUUAUACGAAAGGUUCGUAUUGGGCUUUUAAGUUAGUUUGGGCUUCGGGGUCCAAAAUUGUUUUGGUCCACUAGGCCCAUUAUGUUUAAGUUGUAUGACAACUAAAACAAAUAUGGGUAUUUAGCCCAAUAACAAAAGGAGGCCGGCCAUGUCAAGGGUAGUGGGAAUUUAUGCUUAAUUGCAAGUUUGCCACUAACCUAAGAGAUGAAGUAUAAAGUCAUCUUUAUAGCUUUGUUUCUCAUUAGGUUUUUUUUCUAAUAGAAAUUGGGUGAAACAUUUUCUCUCAUUUUCUACAUAGAGGCCAGCCACUUAGACGAUUUUUACUAGCAUCUAAAAUCUCUCUAAGUCAUCCAUAUCAUCUUCACAAUAUACAACCUUGGUGAA